GUUACUAAGCAGCAUCAAAAUGGGGAGACUAACUAUAAGACAAACAGAUUGCACUGAAAACUUUUGAAUGGUGACCGUCAGCAAACACAGCGGGAACGCAAGGGUAAGUCAGUAUAACAGCAUGUUUAUUGAAGGCAGGGGCAGGAGAAGACAAUACACUAGUGAGAUGGGAAGUAUCCAGGUAGCGUACUGGGUAGAGCAGCUUAGCUUGGUGGAGUCAUGUGUCCCUUCCUUUCUUCCAGGUGGGAUCACUGGAGCAGAGGAUUGUGGGAGCACUGGAGAACAUGGAGUCAAUCACUGGAGAUCUGGCAGAUCUGCCAGCAGAUGGAAAGAGGAAGAGAGCACUUGCUUUGUUUUUUAUUUAUGUCACUCCAGCAGUAGCAGACCAACCGUCUCUCAGAGCAGCAGGUGCUUGUGGGUGAUAAGAACUACCUGUCAACUGGUUCACUCUCACCUGUCACACUCAGACUGCUGUGGAGUGCUAGAUACAGUCAGACCGCUGCAGUGUGUGUGUGGGUGUGCACAUCGAAUGAGUAAUACAUGUAUUAAAUAAAAUGAAAGCAAAUAAUAAAAUCAUUGCUUUAAUUAAUACCUCAAUUCAGGUUCAUUAUAUUUAUUUUCAUUAGUUAUUUUCAUUAAAUUUUAGUUUCAUUAAAUAAUUAAAGAGAAAUAAAAUCUAACAUUUUUAGUUUCACAGAG
Cyprinus carpio carpio is the source of this 699-nucleotide long non-coding RNA. The record is from Ensembl. NCBI's taxonomy places the organism in Eukaryota, Metazoa, Chordata, Actinopteri, Cypriniformes, Cyprinidae.